UGAGGAAUUUUCCGCAAUGGUCGCAAGACUGACGGAGCAACGCCGCGUGCAGGAGGACGCUUUUCGGAGUGUAAACUGCUUUUCUGUGGGACGAGGAAGGACGGUACCACAGGAAGAAGCCCCGGCUAACUACGUGCCAGCAGCCGCGGUAAUACGUAGGGGGCGAGCGUUGUCCGGAGUUACUGGGCGUAAAGGGCACGCAGGCGGUGCGGCGCGUUUCGCGUGACAGCGGAGGGCUUACCUCUCCGAGGAUGCGAAAGACGGCGGCACUUGAGGGCCAGAGAGGGACACGGAAUUCCGGGUGGAGUGGUGAAAUGCGUAGAGAUCCGGAGGAACACCGAAGGCGAAGGCAGUGUCCUGGCUGGUGACUGACGCUGAGGUGCGAAAGCUAGGGGAGCGAACGGGAUUAGAUACCCCGGUAGUCCUAGCCGUAAACGAUGACCACCAGGUGUGGGAGGUAUCGACCCCUUCCGUGCCGGAGUUAACACACUAAGUGGUCCGCCUGGGGAGUACGGUCGCAAGAUUA
Molecule: ribosomal RNA, 526 nt
Filed under: uncultured bacterium
Lineage: Bacteria
Description: bacterial SSU rRNA
Rfam family: Bacterial small subunit ribosomal RNA
Source: RNAcentral